Molecule: small nucleolar RNA, 137 nt
Organism: Sorex fumeus (smoky shrew)
Lineage: Eukaryota; Metazoa; Chordata; Mammalia; Eulipotyphla; Soricidae
Product: small nucleolar RNA SNORA51
Exons: 1
Source: RefSeq, a predicted model, not a curated record
AGCUUCCUGUGCUUAUCACAAUCUGUGUCCUUUACACUGACUGCCUAAAAAGAGGAGUUCUAUGUAAAUAAGUCUACCUUAUAUAAACUUCAGCCCAGGCUCUUUGUCUAACCAGUAUUAUGACCAGAGGAAAGUGG